UUGUGCAUGUGUGUGAUAUACAGGUUUGAGUAGGUUUGAGUCAAUUCCACGCUGAAAGACAAAAACAAAAAAGGAAAAAAAAAAGUUCAAUCACUAAGUAUGGAGCCUUUGUCAGGAAUGUUCAAAUAUGCAACUCCACAGCUCAAUGUCUGUAUUUUUAAAACUUGAAUUGUGGAAUUUAUUUAAGCAUCUUCCAAUCUAUUCAUUCUGUAUGGUGGAUGUACACCACAAAACACACCUACAAGCUACAUAGCGCAGAGCAAGAAAAAAAUGUCCAUAGAGCAUUGAAAAGCACUCCUUAUCUAGCAUGACUUUCAAAAAGACACCUUUACAUUCAGUGUUUGUAAUGCCCUGUCUGUCGAGCACUGUGCUGAGCGCUCGGUGAUUCUCAUGGCAGCAUGGAAAAGCUGCAUUGAUCGAGCCUGGCCCUGGAUGAGUGCCUCCAGUUCAGGUUUUUGUUGCACUGCUAGAAGUGCUUGCACAGCUGUUUAAAUGUUAAUUUGUUUGAUUUUUAGAAAAGAAGCAUUUGUGUGUGACGCAUCAUGGCAGCAAACGCAUCCUGAGUUCAGAAGAUUGUAUCUUUACACACAGAUACAGAUAUUGCUUCAGAGAUCCAUCGCACCUUAGUCUGGGAUGUCUCAGCUGUGUAAAUCUGUUGGAAAUUGGACACCACAAUACUUUGUCUAGUACAUUUCUCACAUGUGGCCAGUUAAGGAGAAGUACAGAAGAUACAAGAAGAGUAAUUUGAAGAGCUCCACUUUAGGAAUACAAACGGGGGUUGUGAGAAGUCAGAGGCCAUCCCAGCAGCAUUAGGUAACUGGCAGGAAGCCUGCCACAGACCACAAGCACAUCCGAGUCACCUGUUGCCCUUGGCAUUGCCCAGGAAGUAAUUUGAACCCAAGACUCUUGCAGUGUUGAGGGUUUUCUGGAGGUUCAGCUCAUCUCAGCAGCAGAAGGCACAAGGCAGGAAUCAACACUUGACGGGAUGCCAGGCUAUAGCUGCGAGCGCACAUUUACGGAGAGAGCUAAAGUUUCUAUGUUACACAUUAAGUGAACAGUUCUUUUGGCUCCCAAUUUACGAAGCCCCCUGAAGCUAUUGGAUUUUCUUCCUUUUCACAUUAAGGAACGAGAAGAUGAGUGCAAAUUAAAAUGGAAUCGAGAGCCUUGAGAGUCGAGCAUCCAGAGUGAAAGAGCAGGACUGAGCUUCAAGUGUGAGCACUGGCAAUGAAAAUUUUAAAAAGAAGAAAUGGAGCCUUUCUUGCUAAUUACAGAUUUGCAAAACAACCUAUCCUGCCGAAUCUGCCAGCCCUGCUAUCAUCACACCGGCAAACGAUGGCGGAGUAGACCAGACGCUCCUGACCUCUGACCUGCUGAUGCAGGAGCCGGCUGGUUUGAGCCAGAUUUGCAGUGGUCUACCGAUGUGGAUGGAAACAAACUUUGACAAGAAGUGUGCAGCUGUGGUGUAGCGGGUCCACAGCGUCCUCAGUAAGGGCCUAUUUUAAAUAAACAAUCAACGCUCUAGCGGCGGCUUGACGAGGUGGCGUUGGGCUAUGGCAAGCCACGGGAUUAUCAGCGGUGUGGGCGUUUCUCGCCAAGUGUGCAGGUGAGGAACUGUCCACAUCCGUGAUUAUUUCCGUGGCUAAUUUGUUACAGCUGCUAUGGUCCCUUGCAUUAUAAAAAAGGAAGUGCGAGUCGGUUAAGGGGAGAUCAGAAAAAAACGAAAGGAAAGAGGACGGAGGUUACCGGGAGCAGGAGGGGAAGCAGGUUGGUGAGAGAGAGAGCCGCGAAGAGCGAGCGGGCGGGCGAGCGAAUGAGCACUCACUGGCAGCUGCGGGGCCUGGGGUGUUGGGCCUACACCCAGGCGUUUCAGUUGGAUGUCGCUACCGCUGAG
Molecule: long non-coding RNA, 1891 nt
Organism: Polypterus senegalus (gray bichir)
Lineage: Eukaryota; Metazoa; Chordata; Cladistia; Polypteriformes; Polypteridae
Exons: 8
Source: RefSeq, a predicted model, not a curated record